This 762-nucleotide ribosomal RNA is filed under the name Tubakia californica. Its description in RNAcentral is "eukaryotic LSU rRNA". It matches the Rfam family "Eukaryotic large subunit ribosomal RNA", at positions 104 to 896 of the family's 3401-position model. Lineage: Eukaryota; Fungi; Ascomycota; Sordariomycetes; Diaporthales; Tubakiaceae. The record is from RNAcentral.
CAGCUCAAAUUUGAAAUCUGGCCUCGGCCCGAGUUGUAAUUUGCAGAGGAUGCUUUUGGUGCGGUGCCUUCCGAGUUCCCUGGAACGGGACGCCACAGAGGGUGAGAGCCCCGUAUGGUCGGACACCAAUCCUGUGUAAAGCUCCUUCGACGAGUCGAGUAGUUUGGGAAUGCUGCUCUAAAUGGGAGGUAAAUCUCUUCUAAAGCUAAAUACCGGCCAGAGACCGAUAGCGCACAAGUAGAGUGAUCGAAAGAUGAAAAGCACCUUGAAAAGGGGGUUAAACAGUACGUGAAAUUGUUGAAAGGGAAGCACUUGUGACCAGACUUGGGCCGGGCGGCUCAUCAGGGGUUCUCCCCUGUGCAUUCCGCCCGGUACAGGCCAGCAUCGGUUCUUACCGGGGGAUAAGAACGGCAGGAACGUGGCUCCCUCUCGGGGGAGUGUUAUAGCCUGCCGUACGAUACCCUGGCGGGGACCGAGGUUCGCGCUUCCGCAAGGAUGCUGGCGUAAUGGUUACUAGUGACCCGUCUUGAAACACGGACCAAGGAGUCGUCCAUUAGAGCGAGCGUUUGGGUGUAAAACCCGCACGCGUAAUGAAAGUGAAAUUAGGUGAGAGCUUCGGCGCAUCAUCGACCGAUCCUGAUGUUCUCGGAUGGAUUUGAGUAAGAGUUUUAACGGACGGACCCGAAAGACAGUGAACUAUGCUUGUAUAGGGUGAAGCCAGAGGAAACUCUGGUGGAGGCUCGCAGCGGUUCUGACGUGCAA